AUGAGAGACAAGUACUUCCUCACGGAUCAUACCACUGUAACUUCCUUUCACCACUUUCAUGGUGCCCCUACAACAAAUGGGUUUUGGCAACAACACCCACCACACUGCACGGCGAUCAGGGCGGAAUUCAACAGGAUUGUGGGGAUUAAGAAGACUAUGAAGUUCCACCAGCACACGGGCGCCAAGACCAACUGGAGCAUGAACAUCUACUACUCAUGGAACGAGGGAGAUUCAUUUCUCCGGGAUGAUUUAGUCCUGUGCCAUGUAUUCGAGACGGACUCACCCGACUACGAUGACAACCCCAAAUGCCUCGGAUGCCAUCGAGGAGCAUGCAGUGGACACCCCCAUGAUCAAGCAUUCGGAGCUCCAAGCGAGGACACUUCAUUCAAGCCAAUUCACUAUUACCCAAACCGCCAUUCCGACCCAAGAUUAAAGUCUUACAUGGAACAACUUGGAAACCUCUUGUUCAGUGACGCUGAUCCUGACAACUCCGCAGAUACUGGAAACUGUGGUGCAGGAAGAGGCAAACCUCCAAUGGCUGACCAUGGGCAGUCAAAAAAAACGCAAAAAGAUCUCAGAUGUUUGGGAUUACUUCACCAAGAUAUUUGCGCGCGACAUCAACGGGAAGGUCGUGACAUAUGCGGCUUGCAACCACUGCUGCAAGAUACUGUCAGCCAGUUCCAAGAACGGGACCUCACAACUUGCAAGGCACGCGUGCCCGUGCAAGUUCAAACCAGUAGUAGCUGGCAGAAAUGCCAAGGACUCCGCCGGCGACGUCAAUGUCCUAUCGUCCUAAGUUCUUGA
This 804-nucleotide ribosomal RNA is filed under the name Triticum aestivum (bread wheat). RNAcentral's name for it is "partial small subunit ribosomal RNA". Lineage: Eukaryota; Viridiplantae; Streptophyta; Magnoliopsida; Poales; Poaceae. The record is from RNAcentral.